Molecule: non-coding RNA, 21 nt
Filed under: Caenorhabditis elegans
Lineage: Eukaryota; Metazoa; Nematoda; Chromadorea; Rhabditida; Rhabditidae
Source: RNAcentral
UAAAUAUUAACUAUUGGAAAA